UAGACUAAAGCCCGCUGGCUACGGUGUUUAAUUGUYAAUUAAAGGUUUACGGGGUCGAAGCCCGUUAGUCU
This 71-nucleotide transfer RNA is filed under the name Hemidactylus platyurus (flat-tailed house gecko). RNAcentral describes it as "tRNA-Asn". The record is from RNAcentral. Lineage: Eukaryota; Metazoa; Chordata; Lepidosauria; Squamata; Gekkonidae.